AUGAACGCUGGCGGCGUGCCUAGUACAUGCAAGUCGAGCGAACAGACGAGGAGCUUGCUCCUCUGACGAUAGCGGCGGACGGGUGAGUAACACGUGGAUAACCUACCUAUAAGACUGGGAUAACUUCGGGAAACCGGAGCUAAUACCGGAUAAUAUAUUGAACCGCAUGGUUCAAUAGUGAAAGACGGUUUUGCUGUCACUUAUAGAUGGAUCCGCGCCGCAUUAGCUAGUUGGUAAGGUAACGGCUUACCAAGGCAACGAUGCGUAGCCGACCUGAGAGGGUGAUCGGCCACACUGGAACUGAGACACGGUCCAGACUCCUACGGGAGGCAGCAGUAGGGAAUCUUCCGCAAUGGGCGAAAGCCUGACGGAGCAACGCCACGUGAGUGAUGAAGGUCUUCGGAUCGUAAAACUCUGUUAUUAGGGAAGAACAAAUGUGUAAGUAACUAUGCACGUCUUGACGGUACCUAAUCAGAAAGCCACGGCUAACUACGUG
Molecule: ribosomal RNA, 496 nt
Filed under: uncultured bacterium
Lineage: Bacteria
Description: partial 16S ribosomal RNA
Rfam family: Bacterial small subunit ribosomal RNA
Source: RNAcentral